Theobroma cacao (cacao) is the source of this 157-nucleotide long non-coding RNA. RefSeq lists it as uncharacterized. The record is from RefSeq and is a predicted model, not a curated record. Lineage: Eukaryota; Viridiplantae; Streptophyta; Magnoliopsida; Malvales; Malvaceae.
AAGAGAAAGUGUUGGAAUUCAAAGAUUUGAUCAAGCAAAGGUGGUGAGUAAAUUACACUAGUAAAAGUACAGAGAUUGUACUUGGAGAUUGGGAUUAUGAGUACAUCAACUCCUAGAACUGCUCGGGGAAUUCCAUAGUUAGUUGACUUUGACAAGG